UUGCUAUGAUGAAUUUCAGAAAGUAAAGAGAGCUCAAUUUAUGUGCUUGAUGAAAACUUUUCCUGAGCGGUUAACUGAGCAA
Non-coding RNA from Morus notabilis, 82 nucleotides. The record is from Rfam. Lineage: Eukaryota; Viridiplantae; Streptophyta; Magnoliopsida; Rosales; Moraceae.